Molecule: ribosomal RNA, 292 nt
Filed under: uncultured bacterium
Lineage: Bacteria
Also listed under: 2 other names
Description: partial 16S ribosomal RNA
Source: RNAcentral
GGACUACUGGGGUAUCUAAUCCCGUUUGCUCCCCUAGCUUUCGCGCCUCAGCGUCAGAAGAGAUCCAGUGCGCCGCUUUCGCCUCCGGCGUUCCUUCCAAUAUCAACGCAUUUCACCGCUCCACUGGAAGUUCCGCACACCCCUAUCUCCCUCUAGGCAAACAGUAUCAGAGGCACUUCUACAGUUGAGCUGCAGGAUUUCACCCCUGACUUGUUUGACCGCCUACGCGCCCUUUAAGCCCAGUGAUUCCGAACAACGUUUGGACAGUUCGUCUUACCGCGGCUGCUGGCAC